This is a long non-coding RNA of Mugil cephalus (flathead mullet), 817 nucleotides long. RefSeq lists it as uncharacterized. NCBI's taxonomy places the organism in Eukaryota, Metazoa, Chordata, Actinopteri, Mugiliformes, Mugilidae. The transcript has 3 exons. The record is from RefSeq and is a predicted model, not a curated record.
ACUACAAACACGGCCCCAAAGUCUAAUCUAACAGUCAGAACUAACAUUUUAAAAUGAAUUCUCAAAUGUGCCCGAAGCCGGUGGAGUGCCACUAAAACCUACUUCUCUACUGUACUCACAGUAAGUACUGAAAUCUGUAUCUAUUAUUUUUUUCUCCUACUUCCACUUUUACUUCUCCACUUAUUUUUGAUGAGUUUACAACUUUUACUACGACACAUUUCUCAUGUGCUGCAUCGUUUCUCCUUAUAAUUGACCUUUAUCGAAACCCCGCCCCCAAACGGUCAUUGUCCAACCGUACGUCCUAGCAACCGUUACUAUGGAAACAAGCUGCCGACCUCCAACAAGCUAAAUUGGGAAGCGGUGUGAUGGGACCCUAGUUACCACAAGAGUUUGUCUGGGGGGGUCAUGUUAUUUACCAACAGGAGCCGAGCCUGAAGUGGGUCAAACACCGAAGAACCCACUCCAGCUAAAUCUACGAGAAUAAACAAGCUACAUACGUCUGCUCCAAGGUUUUUUUCUUGCUGCUGCUGCUGUUUACAGCUUUGUGGAUCCCUGGAGAAAGUGUUCGGAAAAUGUUGCUAACAGAGGAAACGUGCGUCUGGUCUCUGGCCUCAGGUGUGUCGACCCCGAGAGCUUUCGCCUCGAUAGUUCACCGAUCUCACAGAUUCCAGGCGCGUGUCUCUGGAACUGCAACGAUAUGUCAGAAAAAAAAUAAAAAGAGAAGAGGCCUUUGAUGGCGUCCUCGCUGCUCCGAUACUGUAUGAAUACUUUAUCGAUCUGUGAGCUAAAUCCGGCUCGCUGCUAGCUUGCAGAAAAC